AUUGAACGCUGGCGGCAUGCCUUACACAUGCAAGUCGAACGGCAGCAUGGAAGAGCUUGCUCUUCUGAUGGCGAGUGGCGAACGGGUGAGUAAAGCAUCGGAACGUACCGUGUAGUGGGGGAUAACGUAGCGAAAGUUACGCUAAUACCGCAUACGCACUGAGGUGGAAAGCAGGGGAUCGCAAGACCUUGCGCUAUACGAGCGGCCGAUGGCAGAUUAGCUAGUUGGUAGGGUAAAGGCCUACCAAGGCGACGAUCUGUAGCGGGUCUGAGAGGAUGAUCCGCCACACUGGGACUGAGAAACGGCCCAGACUCCUACGGGAGGCAGCAGUGGGGAAUUUUGGACAAUGGGGGAAACCCUGAUCCAGCCAUGCCGCGUGAGUGAAGAAGGCCUUCGGGUUGUAAAGCUCUUUCGGCUGGGAAGAAAUCGCACAGGCUAAUACUCUGUGUGGAUGACGGUACCAGCACAAGAAGCACCGGCCAACUACGUGCCAGCCGCCGCCGUAA
Molecule: ribosomal RNA, 506 nt
Filed under: uncultured bacterium
Lineage: Bacteria
Description: partial 16S ribosomal RNA
Rfam family: Bacterial small subunit ribosomal RNA
Source: RNAcentral